This 406-nucleotide ribosomal RNA is filed under the name uncultured bacterium. RNAcentral describes it as "partial 16S ribosomal RNA". It matches the Rfam family "Bacterial small subunit ribosomal RNA", at positions 30 to 527 of the family's 1533-position model. The record is from RNAcentral.
AUUGAACGCUGGCGGCAGGCCUAACACAUGCAAGUCGAACGAGUGGCGGACGGGUGAGUAAUGUCUGGGAAACUGCCUGAUGGAGGGGGAUAACUACUGGAAAGGGUAGCUAAUACCGCAUACCAUCGGAUGUGCCCAGAUGGGAUUAGCUAGUAGGUGGGGUAAAGGCUCAACUAGGCGACGAUCCCUAGCGGGUCUGAGAGGAUGAACAGCCGCACUGGAACUGAAGCACGGUCCAGACUCCUACGGGUGGCAGCAUUGGUGUAUAUUGCGCAAUGGGCGCUAUCCUGAUGCAGCCAUGCCGCGUGUAUGAAGAAGGCCUUCGGGUUGUAAUGUUCUUUCAGCGGGGAGGCGUUACCCGCAGAAGAAGCACCGGCUAACUCCGUGCCAGCAGCCGCGGUAAUUG